RNAcentral lists this ribosomal RNA (422 nucleotides) under uncultured bacterium. RNAcentral describes it as "partial 16S ribosomal RNA". It matches the Rfam family "Bacterial small subunit ribosomal RNA", at positions 360 to 774 of the family's 1533-position model. The record is from RNAcentral.
AAUCUUCCAUAAUGGGCGAAAGCCUGAUGGAGCAACGCCGCGCGAGUGAAGAAGGUUUUCGGAUCGUAAAACUCUGUUGUUGGAGAAGAACGUAUUUGAUGGUAACUGACCAGGUAGUGACGGUAUCCAACCAGAAAGCCACGGCUAACUACGUUCCAGCAGCCGCGGUAAUACGUAGGUGGCAAGCGUUGUCCGGAUUAAUUGGGCGUAAAGCCGGCGCAGGCGGUUUCUUAGGUCUGAUGGGAAGGCCUUCGGCUCAACCGAAGAAGUGCAUCGGAAACUGGGAAACUUGAGUGCAGAAGAGGACAGUGGAGCUCCAUGUGUAGCGGUGAAAUGCGUAGAUAUAUGGAAGAACACCAGUGGCGAAGGCGGCUGUCUGGUCUGUAACUGACGCUGAGGCUCGAAAGCAUGGGUAGCAAACA